GGUUAAGCGACUAAGCGUACACGGUGGAUGCCCUGGCAGUCAGAGGCGAUGAAGGACGUGCUAAUCUGCGAAAAGCGUCGGUAAGGUGAUAUGAACCGUUAUAACCGGCGAUGUCCGAAUGGGGAAACCCAGUGUGAUUCGUCACACUAUCGUUAACUGAAUACAUAGGUUAACGAGGCGAACCGGGGGAACUGAAACAUCUAAGUACCCCGAGGAAAAGAAAUCAACCGAGAUUCCCCCAGUAGCGGCGAGCGAACGGGGAGCAGCCCAGAGUCUGAAUCAGC
Molecule: non-coding RNA, 284 nt
Filed under: Klebsiella pneumoniae
Lineage: Bacteria; Pseudomonadati; Pseudomonadota; Gammaproteobacteria; Enterobacterales; Enterobacteriaceae
Also listed under: 1 other name
Description: partial 23S ribosomal RNA
Rfam family: Bacterial large subunit ribosomal RNA
Source: RNAcentral